This 484-nucleotide ribosomal RNA is filed under the name uncultured bacterium. RNAcentral describes it as "partial 16S ribosomal RNA". It matches the Rfam family "Bacterial small subunit ribosomal RNA", at positions 30 to 507 of the family's 1533-position model. The record is from RNAcentral.
AUUGAACGCUGGCGGCAGGCCUAACACAUGCAAGUCGAGCGGAUGAAGGGAGCUUGCUCCUGGAUUCAGCGGCGGACGGGUGAGUAAUGCCUAGGAAUCUGCCUGGUAGUGGGGGAUAACGUCCGGAAACGGGCGCUAAUACCGCAUACGUCCUGAGGGAGAAAGUGGGGGAUCUUCGGACCUCACGCUAUCAGAUGAGCCUAGGUCGGAUUUGCUAGUUGGUGGGGUAAAAGCCUACCAAGGCGACGAUCCGUAACUGGUCUGAGAGGAUGAUCAGUCACACUGGAACUGAGACACGGUCCAGACUCCUACGGGAGGCAGCAGUGGGGAAUAUUGGACAAUGGGCGAAAGCCUGAUCCAGCCAUGCCGCGUGUGUGAAGAAGGUCUUCGGAUUGUAAAGCACUUUAAGUUGGGAGGAAGGGCAGUAAGUUAAUACCUUGCUGUUUUGACGUUACCAACAGAAUAAGCACCGGCUAACUUCGUG